AUGCUCACUUUGGCAGCAUAUAUACUAAAAUUGGAAUGAUACAGAGGAGAUUAGCAUGGCCCCUGUGCAGGGAUGACACACAAAUUCGUGAAGCAUUCCAUGUUUUU
Molecule: small nuclear RNA, 107 nt
Filed under: Canis lupus familiaris (dog)
Lineage: Eukaryota; Metazoa; Chordata; Mammalia; Carnivora; Canidae
Also listed under: 1 other name
Source: RNAcentral